RNAcentral lists this long non-coding RNA (2107 nucleotides) under Paramuricea clavata. Lineage: Eukaryota; Metazoa; Cnidaria; Anthozoa; Malacalcyonacea; Plexauridae. The record is from RNAcentral.
AUUUUAGUUGCUGUGUCGUUAUCGUCAAAACUGGAACAUAAAGAUCGAAUUUCAACCAAUAGUUCUUUCUGAUAUUCUUAAGGAAACUGGUAAUCACUUGUAGAAACUUGUUUUGAUAUUAAUUAAUUUGGAGCAAAGUUCACCAAGUUUUUAUUAAACGUCUUUCUAAAUACAGUAUGGGGAUUUCUCAUUUCAAGGUAAUUCAUCGCCUGGAGCUAACCCAGCUAAGUUCGUUCACUUAUUGAAAGAUAUGAGACGUCUGGUGGAUUAUUUGAACUGGGUGAAGUAAACUUUCCGGAUCGAGUAGGUUUUUUCGACUGCGAUUAUGUGAAGUCUGUAUCUCAAAUUAAUCAAGAGAUUCUUAAGUCGCGGUACCUUUACGCUUUUGAGUUAUGUUCCUGCUGGUUUUAAGAUAUAUUUAUGAAAAUAUAAUUUUUAUACAGUAAAAUAGUUGUUCUAAAAAAUAGUGUUCGGAAAGUUUUGUUUAUUUCGUCAUUCCGCUGAUAUGGCGAUUUCUUUGACGACUGCAAUAUAUUUCUGAAUCGUUUGUGUGAAUUGCUCCUUAUUAUUAAAAUAUCCAAAAUUAGAACAAAGCCGAACACAAUUUUGAAACUGACAUCUUUAGCUAUGCCUAUGUCCUGUGAAAAUUUGAGAAAAAUUCGUUAAAACCCGCAGGAGCACAACUCGUUUAAAAACUAGUAAUUGCCGUAAAAUUUCUUCGGGAGAAAAUUGAAUUUGAAUAUUACAUUUUCAAUGUUUUUCUUAUUGCAGCGAAAUGUAUUUUAUUAAAUAACUCUGCGAGUUUUCAACAUUUUUCGUCCAGACUUGGUCAGAUAGUAGAACUAGUCUAAUGCUUUCAUGAAAACCAAUAAAAAAAAUUAGGCAAAAUGAACACUCAAAGGUGUUCUGUAACCUUAAGGUGAUUCAUCAGUAAUUGUUCUGGAAAUGAGAAUUUGCUGAGACUUCCCAUGCAGGGGCGAAGUUUAUCUGUUUAUGAUAUGCUCAUAGUGAAAACAGAAAAGAAGUUGGGGUCACCGAACUCGUUUCGAAGAUAUCAGUGACAAGUGCAAUAUGGCGCCACCUUGAGUCCUUUACCGUUUUACGAGUUACAGGUACAAUCGCAAUUGCUCAACCGUUAUUGAAUUUUUUAAACAAGUAUACUACUAAAAAUGUCUAUCUAGUGAUUAUAUACAAGAAAACAUGGUAUUUUAGCGAAUCAACGUGCAUUGUCGUGGUGCAAAGAUAUUUUUUCCCAUCUUCUCAGACAUGUUAUUUCGGGAAGCAUGCACGAAAAAUGUAAAAUGUUAUAAGUUAUAAAUGGUUUUUCUCUUAUUUUCUGAUAUGACAUGUAAAACAUGUAGAAGAACAAAAAUAUAAAAUAAAAAAGUAGGGUCAUGGACCUUCUUAAAGAGAUACAAGCCUAUAGGGUUAAACAUGCAACAUGAUGUGGUUUAAUGUUAGUUGCACAGUAGCCCUAGCCAGAGGUUUGUCAUUUUUGAAGGUGUAUUACCUGAAGCGCGCCUAUAUAGUCAAUGCAGAGUGUUUUUCUCUUUGCCCUUACUCUUUCUUUAUCACUUUACAUUGCAGUUCGACUACAUAGAUUUGAGCUAGAAUUUGCUAUUAGGUAUGCGCAGUAAAAGUGCGCAAUGCAAAACUGAUGAAUCACCUUAACCUUACGUUAUUGGGCGCAGUAUACCUGCUUGCAUACAUGUUUUGAAAAACUUCGUCGACUGUUGUUAUGUGAAACUAUUUAAUCAAUUGCGUGCACACGCGCAACAGACGGUUAAUGAUGACUAAUUUGACUUAAAUUACUUAAAUUCGGCACAACGCUCAAGCGUGGUGCAUUUACCACUCAAUACAUUUCUGUAAAACUAUAUUGAUUUGUAAAAGAGCAUUGCUCGCAACUUACCACUAGUUUACAUCUAUUGCUUUUCUCUUAUAUUAAGGAAAAAAUUGAUGUCAUGAAGAUGCUGGCUGGUUUGUAUAUUUCUUAUUACUAAUUGUUUUCAUUAAUCAUUAUUGUAAUAAUGGUACAAAUGGUAUUUUUGAAUAUUGACCAUUGCAGAAUGAAGAAUUCUUAUCUUUUGAAUGCUCAGCUCUUUCCAAG